GCAUAUAGUUAUAAUUCAUUAUUCAUGAUGCAUGAUCACGACUACUUGCUACACAUGUGCCUUAAUUGUGUUUUAAUACGUGAUCGAAUACUUUUCUUAAACAGUGAUAAUACAUGAUACAUGUUAUUGAACUUCUACUUUAUGAUUUAACAUUAACUUAAAUGAUUUAUUGUAGUGAGAAGUUAAGUUUCUCGCUAAACGGUGAUAUAUUUGUCUUAGAUGCAUUUCUGCAUUUUAAUUAUGUUUUAAUAUGAUUAAUUACAUAUGUAAUUAUUUGAAGUAACUCAUAUUAGACUAAAACCAAAAGUAUGCAAAAGGGUGCAUUUUGAUUGGUUGGUUGACUAGGUUGCACGAGACCAUUCUGAAAUUGUUUACACUUGAUUAUAAUGAGUAAGCAUCAGCCCAUAUCUUAUCUCAAGCUAUAAAAACGUGGAGGAACCACAAGAAUCCAGCAAAUACAAGCCUUCCAAUCACCAUCCUCCAUUUGGUCUUGUUGGGAAUGGGUAGAUAAGUGAAGACUUUGUGUUUUGGUCUUCAUUUUCACUUGUCUUCUUCCAAAAACGACCAGACCUAUUUCCUUAAUCUUGUCUUCAUAUUUCUUCACUUCCGUACUUACAUAAGAGAGCAUCAAACCAUAAAAACUCAUAGAAGUAGAGCUAGAACAAGUUCUGCACCUUUUCUAGCUGAAAAUCCUAUGUUUUGAAGUUGAAUUCAUCUCUAAUCAAGGCUUCUAGCACACCUUAUCUAAAACUGAUCCUUUCAUUUCAUAAACCAUUAUUGAUCUUGAGGUAAGUUGAAGCUUUCAUUUGCACAUCGUAGACCUAAUUAUGUGCGCUUUAAUGUGACUUUUGCUAUGUAUUCUCUAUGAUGUUUGAAUGAUUGAUGAGUCAUAGUGAUAUGAAAGAAUAUGUUUUGAAAAUGGGAGUAUGGUACUUGAUUGAUGGUCGAGUAGGCAAGGGACGCGGGAGGAACCGGCGGACCCAACACAUGGUGGCAAAUACCUGAGGUCGAAAGACCAGUAUGGAAAACCCACAAUUAAAGAAAUGAAAUACGGCUAAUACCUGAGGUCGAAAGGCCGGUAUGGAAACCCCCGUAUUAUCUAUUGGCCAAAUUUGAUGAACAGGUUCCAAAAAUCAAAGUCUAUUGCUAUCAGUCAAGUACCACACUUCAAGGGUACCCGAUAAAGAGAAGGAUUUCAAAGAAAAGGAUCACGAAUGAAGUUAUAGAUGUGAUAUUGUACUUAUUGAAUGGAUAAUGUGUUAUGUGAUUGAUAUAUUGCUAUUACAUCAGUUUCAACUUGCUGAGCCAUUAGCUCAUUAGGUUCUUAUGAUGCAGGUAAUGAUGUACAUGUUUAGAAGUUGACCUAGCCAAGAGCGGCUAGUCAGAUAUUUGUUCAUAUGCCAUGCUUCGAGCCAUUUUUGUAGCCGAGCAGAAACUCUGAUUUCAUUUUGUUAGCCGCUCUAUUAUGGUUUUUGUACAAUGUAAUUUUGUAAACAAUGAAUAUAUAUAUGUACGGAUUUUGAGAAAGUACUAAGUUUGAUUUCUUUUCAAAGCAUAUAACGUAUUUUUGUAUUAAAACCAUAAUGUUUAAGUAUAUAUAUAAAAAGCUUAGCAUCCCUAACUUAAUGGCGGUGAUCCGAUUGGAUUCUGCUGUUAGGUUGUGCGGUGUUACAUUUUUGGUAUCAGAGCGGAGGUUUAAAAUCUUUUCUGAAGACAGAAGAAGGCAUAUGAACAUACUUUGGCUGGGAAGCUAGGUUAGAUACGCACAUAAGUAAGUAUACAAAGGCAUACACAAAAUUACUCACGCAAAAGUGCAUUCGCAAAAAGGAUCAUGAAAACACAAACUACAAUCCUAGGACAUUAAUUGUAAUGCCCAACCAUCCAUACAUGGCCAAUAAAAAGCAUAUUGCAUCAAUGCAUAUAGUUAUAAUUCAUUAUUCAUGAUGCAUGAUCACGACUACUUGCUACACAUGUGCCUUAAUUGUGUUUUAAUACGUGAUCGAAUACUUUUCUUAAACAGUGAUAAUACAUGAUACAUGUUAUUGAACUUCUACUUUAUGAUUUAACAUUAACUUAAAUGAUUUAUUGUAGUGAGAAGUUAAGUUUCUCGCUAAACGGUGAUAUAUUUGUCUUAGAUGCAUUUCUGCAUUUUAAUUAUGUUUUAAUAUGAUUAAUUACAUAUGUAAUUAUUUGAAGUAACUCAUAUUAGACUAAAACCAAAAGUAUGCAAAAGGGUGCAUUUUGAUUGGUUGGUUGACUAGGUUGCACGAGACCAUUCUGAAAUUGUUUACACUUGAUUAUAAUGAGUAAGCAUCAGCCCAUAUCUUAUCUCAAGCUAUAAAAACGUGGAGGAACCACAAGAAUCCAGCAAAUACAAGCCUUCCAAUCACCAUCCUCCAUUUGGUCUUGUUGGGAAUGGGUAGAUAAGUGAAGACUUUGUGUUUUGGUCUUCAUUUUCACUUGUCUUCUUCCAAAAACGACCAGACCUAUUUCCUUAAUCUUGUCUUCAUAUUUCUUCACUUCCGUACUUACAUAAGAGAGCAUCAAACCAUAAAAAUCAUAGAAGUAGAGCUAGAACAAGUUCUGCCCCUUUUCUAGCUGAAAAUCCUAUGUUUUGAAGUUGAAUUCAUCUCUAAUCAAGGCUUCUAGCACACCUUAUCUAAGACUAAUCCUUUCAUUUCAUAAACCAUUAUUGAUCUUGAGGUAAGUUGAAGCUUUCAUUUUCACAUCGUAAGAACCUAAUUAUGUGCGCUUUAAUGUGACUUUUGCUAUGUAUUCUCUAUGAUGUUUGAAUGAUUGAUGAGUCAUAGUGAUAUGAAAGAAUAUGUUUUGAAAAUGGGAGUAUGGUACUUGAUUGAUGGUCGAGUAGGCAAGGGACGCGGGAGGAACCGGCGGACCCAACACAUGGUGGCAAAUACCUGAGGUCGAAAGACCAGUAUGGAAAACCCACAAUUAAAGAAAUGAAAUACGGCUAAUACCUGAGGUCGAAAGGCCGGUAUGGAAACCCCCGUAUUAUCUAUUGGCCAAAUUUGAUGAACAGGUUCCAAAAAUCAAAGUCUAUUGCUAUCAGUCAAGUACCACACUUCAAGGGUACCCGAUAAAGAGAAGGAUUUCAAAGAAAAGGAUCACGAAUGAAGUUAUAGAUGUGAUAUUGUACUUAUUGAAUGGAUAAUGUGUUAUGUGAUUGAUAUAUUGCUAUUACAUCAGUUUCAACUUGCUGAGCCAUUAGCUCAUUAGGUUCUUAUGAUGCAGGUAAUGAUGUACAUGUUUAGAAGUUGACCUAGCCAAGAGCGGCUAGUCAGAUAUUUGUUCAUAUGCCAUGCUUCGAGCCAUUUUUGUAGCCGAGCAGAAACUCUGAUUUCAUUUUGUUAGCCGCUCUAUUAUGGUUUUUGUACAAUGUAAUUUUGUAAACAAUGAAUAUAUAUAUGUACGGAUUUUGAGAAAGUACUAAGUUUGAUUUCUUUUCAAAGCAUAUAACGUAUUUUUGUAUUAAAACCAUAAUGUUUAAGUAUAUAUAUAAAAAGCUUAGCAUCCCUAACUUAAUGGCGGUGAUCCGAUUGGAUUCUGCUGUUAGGUUGUGCGGUGUUACAUUUUUGGUAUCAGAGCGGAGGUUUAAAAUCUUUUCUGAAGACAGAAGAAGGCAUAUGAACAUACUUUGGCUGGGAAGCUAGGUUAACUCUUUUCUUAUUUACCUAUGUGUUUAAUUUAUAUGUUGCAUAGCAAAUAUCCAGAAUUGUUCGGUACGUCAAAUUUCGAGGGCGAAAUUUUAUAAGGAGGGAAGAAUUGUAAUGCCCAACCAUCCAUACAUGGCCAAUAAUAAGCAUAUUGCAUCAAUGCAUAUAGUUAUAAUUCAUUAUUCAUGAUGCAUGAUCACGACUACUUGCUACACAUGUGCCUUAAUUGUGUUUUAAUACGUGAUCGAAUACUUUUCUUAAACUGUGAUAAUAUAUGAUACAUGUUAUUGAACUUCUACUUUAUGAUUUAACAUUAACUUAAAUGAUUUAUUGUAGUGAGAAGUUAAGUUUCUCGCUAAACGGUGAUAUAUUUGUCUUAGAUGCAUUUCUGCAUUUUAAUUAUGAUUAAUUACAUAUGUAAUUAUUUGAAGUAACUCAUACUAGACUAAAACCAAAAGUAUGCAAAAUGGUGCAUUUUGAUUGGUUGGUUGACUAGGUUGCACGAGACCAUUCUGAAAUUGUUUACACUUGAUUAUAAUGAGUAUGCAUCAGCCCAUUUCUUAUCUCAAGCUAUAAAAACGUGGAGGAACCACAAGAAUCCAGCAAAUACAAGCCUUCCAAUCACCAUCCUCCAUUUGGCCUUGUUGGGAAUGGGUAGAUAAGUGAAGACUUUGUGUUUUGGUCUUCAUUUUCACUUGUCUUCUUCCAAAAAUGACCAGACCUAUUUCCUUAAUUUUGUCUUCAUAUUUCUUCACUUCCAUACUCACAUAAGAGAGCAUCAAACCAUAAAAACUCAUAGAAGUAGAGCUAGAACAAGUUCUGCACCUUUUCUAGCUGAAAAUCCUAUGUUUUGAAGUUGAAUUCAUCUCUAAUCAAGGCUUCUAGCACACCUUAUCUAAAACUGAUCCUUUCAUUUCAUAAACCAUUAUUGAUCUUGAGGUAAGUUGAAGCUUUCAUUUGCACAUCGUAAGAACCUAAUUAUGUGCGCUUUAAUGUGACUUUUGCUAUGUAUUCUCUAUAAUGUUUGAAUGAUUGAUGAGUCAUAGUGAUAUGAAAGAAUAUGUUUUGAAAAUGGGAGUAUGGUACUUGAUUGAUGGUCGAGUAGGCAAGGGACGCAGGAGGAACCGGCGGACCCAACACAUGGUGGCAAAUACCUGAGGUCGAAAGACCAGUAUGGAAAACCCACAAUUAAAGAAAUGAAAUACGGCUAAUACCUGAGGUCGAAAGGCCGGUAUGGAAACCCCCGUAUUAUCUAUUGGCCAAAUUUGAUGAACAGGUUCCGAAAAUCAAAGUCUAUUGCUAUCAGUCAAGUACCACACUUCAAGGGUACCCGAUAAAGAGAAGGAUUUCAAAGAAAAGGAUCACGAAUGAAGUUAUAGAUGUGAUAUUGUACUUAUUGAAUAGAUAAUGUGUUAUGUGAUUGAUAUAUUGCUAUUACAUCAGUUUCAACUUGCUGAGCCAUUAGCUCAUUAGGUUCUUAUGAUGCAGGUAAUGAUGUACAUGUUUAGAAGUUGACCUAGCCAAGAGCGGCCAGUCAGAUAUUUGUUCAUAUGCCAUGCUUCGAGCCAUUUUUGUAGCCGAGCAGAAACUCUGAUUUCAUUUUGUUAGCCGCUCUAUUAUGGUUUUUGUACAAUGUAAUUUUGUAAACAAUGAAUAUAUAUAUGUACGGAUUUUGAGAAAGUACAAAGUUUGAUUUCUUUUCAAAGCAUAUAACGUAUUUUUGUAUUAAAACCAUAAUGUUUAAGUAUAUAUAUAAAAAGCUUAGCAUCCCUAACUUAAUGGCGGUGAUCCGAUUGGAUUCUGCUGUUAGGUUGUGCGGUGUUACAUUUUUGGUAUCAGAGCGGAGGUUUAAAAUCUUUUCUGAAGACAGAAGAAGGCAUAUGAACAUACUUUGGCUGGGAAGCUUGGUUAACUCUUUUCUUAUUUACCUAUGUGUUUAAUUUAUAUGUUGCAUAGCAAAUAUCCAGAAUUGUUCGGUACGUCAAAUUUCGAGGGCGAAAUUUUAUAAGGAGGGAAGAAUUGUAAUGCCCAACCAUCCAUACAUGGCCAAUAAUAAGCAUAUUGCAUCAAUGCAUAUAGUUAUAAUUCAUUAUUCAUGAUGCAUGAUCACGACUACUUGCUACACAUGUGCCUUAAUUGUGUUUUACUACGUGAUCGAAUACUUUUCUUAAACUGUGAUAAUACAUGAUACAUGUUAUUGAACUUCUACUUUAUGAUUUAACAUUAACUUAAAUGAUUUAUUGUAGUGAGAAGUUAAGUUUCUCGCUAAACGGUGAUAUAUUUGUCUUAGAUGCAUUUCCGCAUUUUAAUUAUGUUUUAAUAUGAUUAAUUACAUAUGUAAUUAUUUGAAGUAACUCAUAUUAGACUAAAACCAAAAGUAUGCAAAAUGGUGCAUUUUGAUUGGUUGGUUGACUAGGUUGCACGAGACCAUUCUGAAAUUGUUUACACUUGAUUAUAAUGAGUAUGCAUCAGCCCAUAUCUUAUCUCAAGCUAUAAAAACGUGGAGGAACCACAAGAAUCCAGCAAAUAAAAGCCUUCCAAUCACCAUCCUCCAUUUGGCCUUGUUGGGAAUGGGUAGAUAAGUGAAGACUUUGUGUUUUGGUCUUCAUUUUCACUUGUCUUCUUCCAAAAACGACCAGACCGAUUUCCUUAAUCUUGUCUUCAUAUUUCUUCACUUCCAUACUCACAUAAGAGAGCAUCAAACCAUAAAAACUCAUAGAAGUAGAGCUAGAACAAGUUCUGCACCUUUUCUAGCUGAAAAUCCUAUGUUUUGAAGUUGAAUUCAUCUCUAAUCAAGGCUUCUAGCACACCUUAUCUAAAACUGAUCCUUUCAUUUCAUAAACCAUUAUUGAUCUUGAGGUAAGUUGAAGCUUUCAUUUGUACAUCGUAAGAACCUAAUUAUGUGCGCUUUAAUGUGACUUUUGCUAUGUAUUCUCUAUGAUGUUUGAAUGAUUGAUGAGUCAUAGUGAUAUGAAAGAAUAUGUUUUGAAAAUGGGAGUAUGGUAUUUGAUUGAUGGUCGAGUAGGCAAGGGACGCGGGAGGAACCGGCGGACCCAACACAUGGUGGCAAAUACCUGAGGUCGAAAGACCAGUAUGGAAAACCCACAAUUAAAGAAAUGAAAUACGGCUAAUACCUUAGGUCGAAAGGCCGGUAUGGAAACCCACGUAUUAUCUAUUGGCCAAAUUUGAUGAACAGGUUCCGAAAAUCAAAGUCUAUUGCUAUCAGUCAAGUACCACACUUCAAGGGUACCCGAUAAAGAGAAGGAUUUCAAAGAAAAGGAUCACGAAUGAAGUUAUAGAUGUGAUAUUGUACUUAUUGAAUGGAUAAUGUGUUAUGUGAUUGAUAUAUUGCUAUUACAUCAGUUUGAACUUGCUGAGCCAUUAGCUCAUUAGGUUCUUAUGAUGCAGGUAAUGAUGUACAUGUUUAGAAGUUGACCUAGCCAAGAGCAGCCAGUCAGAUAUUUGUUCAUAUGCCAUGCUUCGAGCCAUUUUUGUAGCCGAGCAGAAACUCUGAUUUCAUUUUGUUAGCCGCUCUAUUAUGGUUUUUGUACAAUGUAAUUUUGUAAACAAUGAAUAUAUAUAUGUACAUAUUUUGAGAAAGUACAAAGUUUGAUUUCUUUUCAAAGCAUAUAACGUAUUUUUAUAUUAAAACCAUAAUGUUUAAGUAUAUAUAUAUAUAAAAAGCUUAGCAUCCCUAACUUAAUGGCGGUGAUCCGAUUGGAUUCUGCUGUUAGGUUGUGCGGUGUUACAUUUUUGGUAUCAGAGCGGAGGUUUAAAAUCUUUUCUGAAGACAGAAGAAGGCAUAUGAACAUACUUUGGCUGGGAAGCUUGGUUAACUCUUUUCUUAUUUACCUAUGUGUUUAAUUUAUAUGUUGCAUAGCAAAUAUCCAGAAUUGUUCGGUACGUCAAAUUUCGAGGGCGAAAUUUUAUAAGGAGGGAAGAAUUGUAAUGCCCAACCAUCCAUACAUGGCCAACAAUAAGCAUAUUGCAUCAAUGCAUAUAGUUAUAAUUCAUUAUUCAUGAUGCAUGAUCACGACUACUUGCUACACAUGUGCCUUAAUUGUGUUUUAAUACGUGAUCGAAUACUUUUCUUAAACUGUGAUAAUACAUGAUACAUGUUAUUGAACUUCUACAUUAUGAUUUAACAUUAACUUAAAUGAUUUAUUGUAGUGAGAAGUUAAGUUUCUCGGUAAACGGUGAUAUAUUUGUCUUACAUGCAUUUCUGCAUUUUAAUUAUGUUUUAAUAUGAUUAAUUACAUAUGUAAUUAUUUGAAGUAACUCAUAUUAGACUAAAACCAAAAGUAUGCAAAAGGGUGCAUUUUGAUUGGUUGGUUGACUAGGGUUGUUUACACUUGAUUAUAAUGAGUAAGCAUCAGCCCAUAUCUUAUCUCAAGCUAUAAAAACGUGGAGGAACCACAAGAAUCCAGCAAAUACAAGCCUUCCAAUCACCAUCCUCCAUUUGGCCUUGUUGGGAAUGGGUAGAUAAGUGAAGACUUUGUGUUUUGGUCUUCAUUUUCACUUGUCUUCUUCCAAAAAUGACCAGACCUAUUUCCUUAAUUUUGUCUUCAUAUUUCUUCACUUCCAUACUCACAUAAGAGAGCAUCAAACCAUAAAAACUCAUAGAAGUAGAGCUAGAACAAGUUCUGCAACUUUUCUAGCUGAAAAUCCUAUGUUUUGAAGUUGAAUUCAUCUCUAAUCAAGGCUUCUAGCACACCUUAUCUAAGACUGAUCCUUUCAUUUCAUAAACCAUUAUUUAUCUUGAGGUAAGUUGAAGCUUUCAUUUG
This 8458-nucleotide long non-coding RNA is filed under the name Erythranthe guttata (spotted monkey flower). Its description in RNAcentral is "long non-coding RNA (EGUT_LNC002572)". The record is from RNAcentral. Lineage: Eukaryota; Viridiplantae; Streptophyta; Magnoliopsida; Lamiales; Phrymaceae.